Molecule: ribosomal RNA, 515 nt
Filed under: uncultured bacterium
Lineage: Bacteria
Description: bacterial SSU rRNA
Rfam family: Bacterial small subunit ribosomal RNA
Source: RNAcentral
AGAGUUGAUCAUGGCUCAGGAUGAACGCUAGCUACAGGCUAACACAUGCAAGUCGAGGGGCAGCAUUGGAGUAGCAAUACUCAGAUGGCGACCGGCGCACGGGUGAGUAACACGUAUCCAACCUGCCGCUUACUCGGGGAUAGCCUUUCGAAAGAAAGAUUAAUACCCGAUGGUAUAAAGAGUUCGCAUGUUCUCUUUAUUAAAGAAUUUCGGUAAGCGAUGGGGAUGCGUUCCAUUAGAUUGUUGGCGGGGUAACGGCCCACCAAGUCUACGAUGGAUAGGGGUUCUGAGAGGAAGGUCCCCCACAUUGGAACUGAGACACGGUCCAAACUCCUACGGGAGGCAGCAGUGAGGAAUAUUGGUCAAUGGACGAGAGUCUGAACCAGCCAAGUAGCGUGAAGGAUGACUGCCCUAUGGGUUGUAAACUUCUUUUAUAAGGGAAUAAAGUGAGGGACGUGUCCCUUUUUGUAUGUACCUUAUGAAUAAGGAUCGGCUAACUCCGUGCCAGCAGCAGC